GAAACGUCCGAAAACAAACCUACCAGCUCAGCGAGCAAAGGCUGCAAAAUUAAAAUACAGGUUUAAAAUGAAUUUUAACAAGAGCACUGGAUGAACUCAAACAAGAUCUCAACUCUUUACAGUUUAUAUCAAUGAUCUGGUUGAAGGAAUAGCAGCUAAAUUUGCUGAUGUCACAAAUAAGACCAGAGAGUGAAUUGUGAAGAGGAUAUAACAAGCCUACAAAGGAUAUAGAUGCCAGUAACAUGUCACUGGAGGAUCCAUGCAAUUGCAAGCUCUUUGGGGCAUUCUGGGCUACUGGCCCACAAUCAGCAUUGCUUCCCCGGAGUGGAGAAACUACGCCAUGUUCUUCAC
Chiloscyllium plagiosum (whitespotted bambooshark) is the source of this 351-nucleotide long non-coding RNA. RefSeq lists it as uncharacterized. NCBI's taxonomy places the organism in Eukaryota, Metazoa, Chordata, Chondrichthyes, Orectolobiformes, Hemiscylliidae. The record is from RefSeq and is a predicted model, not a curated record.